GCCUUUGUGGUGUAGUGGUCAGCACACUCGACAUGUAACUGAGAGAUUCGUGGUUCAAUUAACGACGAAGGCG
Molecule: transfer RNA, 73 nt
Filed under: Stegodyphus mimosarum
Lineage: Eukaryota; Metazoa; Arthropoda; Arachnida; Araneae; Eresidae
Rfam family: tRNA
About the family: Transfer RNA (tRNA) molecules are approximately 80 nucleotides in length.
Source: Rfam by way of RNAcentral